RNAcentral lists this long non-coding RNA (477 nucleotides) under Papio anubis (olive baboon). RNAcentral's name for it is "lncRNA (ENSPANG00000046801.1)". Lineage: Eukaryota; Metazoa; Chordata; Mammalia; Primates; Cercopithecidae. The record is from RNAcentral.
AUGGGGGUUCUUUGUCCCAUGGCCAUGAAAAUUCAGGCUUGCAGACAAUUUGAAUGGUUCUACACACGAAGAGGAGGGACCAGGCUCCUCCCUGCUGCAAAUGGAUCAAACUUCCCAAAUCUCCACCCCAGUGGGCAGGCUGGUUGGAUUUUCUCCAGGAACCGUCUCCCACCUGGCUGUCUCAACAGGAAGAGCAGUUCCCAGGAGAGAAAACCCAGGGAUGUAAUAUUCACUGUGAAGGUCCAUGGCUUCAUUCUUGAAGUCAGCAAGACCACCGGAAGGAACCAGCUCUGGACACACUCAGACCCAUCAGAUUGGCAAAACAUCAAAACAUUCAUCAGGCAAAGCUUGGGAAAGAUGAAGAGAAACAGGAAAUCCCAUACUGCAUAUCAGAGUAUAAAUUCGCAGGACUUUGCAAAGCAAGUUGGCAACAUCCAGUUCAGCUGCAAAUGUGCAUACUCUGAUCUGCCAGUUUAA